Long non-coding RNA from Solanum stenotomum, 1918 nucleotides. RefSeq lists it as uncharacterized. NCBI's taxonomy places the organism in Eukaryota, Viridiplantae, Streptophyta, Magnoliopsida, Solanales, Solanaceae. The record is from RefSeq and is a predicted model, not a curated record. The transcript is spliced from 3 exons.
AAAAAGGAUCCAUACAUCUGUAGUUGAAUGCAUAUCAGGCUAUCAGCAUUCGGCUUUUGAUUAAAAUUGAAGCAGAAAAGUAUGUGAAAAACAACAAAGUAGAUGACUUAGUAUGACUGUGACUGAGGUCAGGUGUUGCUGCCACAAUCUAUUGUGGUUCAUAAUUUCGCGAUCAAAUAAUACUUUUCCAUCUCUCUAUUUUAUUGCUCAAACUAUAUUUGGGAGAUGAAAAGAGGUUUAGUUAGUUUUGUAUCUUAUAUGAGCUUUAUUUGUAUGCUGAGUAUAAACUAGGCAUUGAUCCUUGCAAACUUCAUCUUGUCCCUUUGAUAUGUAGUAUAGGGUAUAAAUAGUGGUGUUGAUUGACAAGAAAUGUAUUAGGUAAAAAGAUGUGGUACAUAACUGAUUAUAGAUUGUCUGGUGAACUGAUUUUUAGGUUCCUUAAUUUCAUUCAACAUAUAUAUAUCCAAAUGACAAAAAUAUGUUGCAUGAAAAUAUUCAAGUGGAGAGGAUAUAAAUAAAAUUGUGAACUUGAGCAUUUUGCAAUAGUUAACAUUGUUUAGUGUUAAUUAAACAGACAUGCAAGCUCCAUUAGGUAUCUAAUUCUGUAUGAUGUGAUCAAGGACAUCCUAUCUUUCUAAUGGUAAUUUCUUACUUAAGUUGAAAAUAUUAUCCUGUUGCACUGUGCCUCAGUCCGUAACCAUGUAUACUAAUGAAUUCUUCUUCAAGUUAGCUGGUCUUAAGUAUAACCCAAGAACACCACGUCUAUGCACAUUGAGCUUCUAAUUUAAUCUAGUUAGCCAUAGGUUACAUAGCCAGUAAUGGAGUAGUUCUCUAAAUUUGUUCGGUCUCUUCAAAGUAAAACUCCUGAACUCUGCUUUAUUGGACUGAGGAAGCAGACAAGUUUAACCUUGUAUAAAUAUUUUACCUCGAGGCUAUUUUGGAAAUCCUCUCAGUAAUUUAAUUAUUUUUUCUUGGAGCAUUUUACAGCUUCAUAUUUCUAUUGUCCCUAUCUUUGGACACUAUGGUUUUCAAACAUUUAUCUGUACUCUAACUUCAGUAAAGUGAUUGGAUGUAGGAUAUGAUCAGCUCUUUAUGAGAAAUUUCACCUGUUCUGUUAAGAGAAACAGUGUGGAACUUUUUCUUCUUCAAUUUUGGUUUUAGCUUCCUAGCUUUUCUUUAAUGUGGUUUAGUGUUUUAUAUUUUCUCUUUUGAGCUGCUUGUAACUUUGGUAUUAGAGCAAGCACCAAAUUCCUGGAGUUUGUCUCUAAUCGUCUUGCACAAAAGUGCACUUGCUAAGAGCAGAAGCUUGGGAAUUUAGUGGAUUUGGCUCAGAAGGGAAGCUUUAUUACUAGAGGUCCUAGACUUAUCAUCAUAUGUGAUGGUGCUGCACUUGCUAAGAGCAGAAACUUGGGAAUUUAGUGGAUCUGUCUUAGAAUGGAAUCUCUAUUAUUAGAAGUCUGAGAUUUGUCAGCAUAUGUGGUGCCAUGUGAAUAUAUCCAAUGCAAAUUCUGGUGGAUAUUUUAACAUGAAAAAUUCUCAAAAUCUUGUGACAGUUGUCUUGUAAUGCGCAUCCAAGUCAACUACAUAAAAAAUACGAAAAAGGAAUCUGGGACAUUUAAGUUGGGCUUCUCCUACUUGGAUGAUUAUUUAGGUGCGCAUCGUAUUGUGCUUGGGUGUUGCAGUUUUCGUAACUGAGAUUGUGGAGAAGCUGGAGAAAGUAAUAAGCAAAAACUGAUUACGGAUAGUGAUCCAUGAUGAAAAGAGCUAUGGCUAGAAGGCCUGGUGCUUGCCUCGAGUUGAGCACAUUGAAGCGCCAAAUCCACUAUUUUCAGGGCCUUCCAUUGUUCUUCUACAUUCCAGAGCCUAAUUUCUUCAUCAAGAAAACUAAGGAAAUUGUUGCUUCUCUGCAAGUUUUUCC